GACGAACGCUGGCGGCGUGCCUAAUACAUGCAAGUUGAGCGAUGAAGCUUGGUGCUUGCACCAAUUUGAAGAGCAGCGAACGGGUGAGUAACGCGUGGGGAAUCUGCCUUUGAGCGGGGGACAACAUUUGGAAACGAAUGCUAAUACCGCAUAAUAACUUUAAACAUAAGUUUUAAGUUUGAAAGAUGCAAUUGCAUCACUCAAAGAUGAUCCCGCGUUGUAUUAGCUAGUUGGUGAGGUAAAGGCUCACCAAGGCGAAGAUACAUAGCCGACCUGAGAGGGUGAUCGGCCACAUUGGGACUGGGACACGGCCCAAACUCCUACGGGAGGCAGCAGGAGGGAAUCUUCGGGAAUGGACGAAAGUCUGACCGAGCAACGCCGCGGGAGUGAAGAAGGUUUUCGGAUCGUAAAACUCUGUUGGUAGAGAAGAACGUUAGUGAGAGUGGAAAGCUCAUCAAGUGACGGUAACUACCCAGAAAGGGACGGCUAACUACGUG
Molecule: ribosomal RNA, 497 nt
Filed under: uncultured bacterium
Lineage: Bacteria
Description: partial 16S ribosomal RNA
Rfam family: Bacterial small subunit ribosomal RNA
Source: RNAcentral